AUUGAACGCUGGCGGCAUGCUUUACACAUGCAAGUCGAACGGUAACAGCACUUCGGUGGCUGACGAGUGGCGAACGGGUGAGUAAUACAUCGGAACGUGCCUAGUAGUGGGGGAUAACUACUCGAAAGAGUAGCUAAUACCGCAUGAGAUCUAAGGCUGACAGCAGGGGACCUUCAGGCCUUGCGCUACUAGAGCGGCUGAUGGCAGAUUAGGUAGUUGGUGGGAUAAAAGCUUACCAAGGCGACGAUCUGUAGCUGGUCUGAGAGGACGACCAGCCACACUGGGACUGAGACACGGCCCAGACUCCUACGGGAGGCAGCAGUGGGGAAUUUUGGACAAUGGGCGCAAGCCUGAUCCAGCAAUGCCGCGUGCAGGAUGAAGGCCUUCGGGUUGUAAACUGCUUUUGUACGGAACGAAAAGCCCUCUGCUAAUACAGGAGGGUCAUGACGGUACCGAAAGAAUAAGCACCGGCUAACUACGUG
RNAcentral lists this ribosomal RNA (482 nucleotides) under uncultured bacterium. RNAcentral describes it as "partial 16S ribosomal RNA". It matches the Rfam family "Bacterial small subunit ribosomal RNA", at positions 30 to 507 of the family's 1533-position model. The record is from RNAcentral.